GCCAGACUCCUACGGGAGGCAGCAGUGGGGAAUAUUGGGCAAUGGGCGCAAGCCUGACCCAGCAACGCCGCGUGAAGGAAGAAGGCUCUCGGGUUGUAAACUUCUUUUAUCAGGGACGAAGCAAGUGACGGUACCUGAUGAAUAAGCCACGGCUAACUACGCGCCAGCAGCCGCGGUAAUACGUAGGUGGCAAGCGUUAUCCGGAUUUACUGGGUGUAAAGGGCGUGUAGGCGGGAAAGCAAGUCAGAUGUGAAAACCAUGGGCUCAACCUGUGGCCUGCAUUUGAAACUGUUUUUCUUGGGUACUGGAGAGGCAGACGGAAUUCCUAGUGUAGCGGUGAAAUGCGCAGAUAUUAGGAGGAACACCAGUGGCGAAGGCGGUCUGCUGGACAGCAACUGACGCUGAGGCGCGAAAGCGUGGGGAGCAAACAGGAUUAGAUACCCCAGUAGC
Molecule: ribosomal RNA, 450 nt
Filed under: uncultured bacterium
Lineage: Bacteria
Description: bacterial SSU rRNA
Rfam family: Bacterial small subunit ribosomal RNA
Source: RNAcentral